CCAGUGAGUGGCGGACGGGUGAGUAACACGUAGGUAACCUGCCCCGGAGCGGGGGAUAACAUUUGGAAACAGAUGCUAAUACCGCAUAACAACAAAAGCCACAUGGCUUUUGUUUGAAAGAUGGCUUUGGCUAUCACUCUGGGAUGGACCUGCGGUGCAUUAGCUAGUUGGUAAGGUAACGGCUUACCAAGGCGAUGAUGCAUAGCCGAGUUGAGAGACUGAUCGGCCACAAUGGAACUGAGACACGGACCAGACUCCUACGGGAGGCAGCAGUGAGGAAUAUUGGUCAAUGGCCGAGAGGCUGAACCAGCCAAGUCGCGUGAGGGAAGAAUGUCCUAAGGAUUGUAAACCUCUUUUGUCGGGGAGCAAAAAGGCUCUGCGGAGUCGUAUUGAGAGUACCCGAAGAAAAAGCAUCGGCUAACUCCGUGCCAGCAGCCGCGGUAAUACGGAGGAUGCGAGCGUUAUCCGGAUUUAUUGGGUUUAAAGGGUGCGCAGGCGGCGUGUCAAGCAAGCGGUAAAAUAGCGGGGCUCAACCCCGUCGAGCCGUUUGAACUGGCGCGCUUGAGUUCAGGCGAGGUAGGCGGAAUUCGUGGUGUAGCGGUGAAAUGCAUAGAUAUCACGAAGAACUCCGAUUGCGAAGGCAGCUUACCAGUCUGCGACUGACGCUCAGGCACGAAAGUGUGGGUAUCGAACAGGAUUAGAUACCCUGGUAGUCCACACAGUAAACGAUGAGCGCUAGGUGUCCGGGUCGCAUGAGACUUGGGUGCCCGAGCGAAAGCGUUAAGCGCUCCACCUGGGGAGUACGCCGGCAACGGUGAAACUCAAAGGAAUUGACGGGGGCCCGCACAAGCGGAGGAACAUGUGGUUUAAUUCGAUGAUACGCGAGGAACCUUACCCGGGCUCAAACGACUCAGGAAUAUAUUGGAAACGAUGUAGCCAGCAAUGGUCUGAGUCGAGGUGCUGCAUGGUUGUCGUCAGCUCGUGCCGUGAGGUGUCGGCUUAAGUGCCAUAACGAGCGCAACCCCUACCGCCAGUUGCCAACGGGUAAAGCCGGGAACUCUGGCGGGACUGCCGGCGCAAGCUGCGAGGAAGGCGGGGAUGACGUCAAAUCAGCACGGCCCUUACGUCCGGGGCGACACACGUGUUACAAUGGCAGGUACAGCGGGAAGCCACCUGGUGACAGGGAGCGGAACCCGAAAGCCUGUCUCAGUUCGGAUUGGAGUCUGCAACUCGACUCCAUGAAGCUGGAUUCGCUAGUAAUCGCGCAUCAGCCAUGGCGCGGUGAAUACAAAGCCGGGCCUUGUACACUCCGCCCGUCAAG
Molecule: ribosomal RNA, 1321 nt
Filed under: uncultured bacterium
Lineage: Bacteria
Description: bacterial SSU rRNA
Rfam family: Bacterial small subunit ribosomal RNA
Source: RNAcentral